Molecule: ribosomal RNA, 1280 nt
Filed under: Erotylidae sp. BMNH 1274392
Lineage: Eukaryota; Metazoa; Arthropoda; Insecta; Coleoptera; Erotylidae
Description: 16S ribosomal RNA
Rfam family: Archaeal large subunit ribosomal RNA (bases 1039-1197)
Source: RNAcentral
AAUUGAAUUAUUAAAAUUAAAUUUUUAAAUUUAAUUUAAUUUAAAUAAUAUUUGUUUAAUUAUAAAUUAGAAAAAAUAUUUUUUAUAAUAGUGAAUUAAGUAUUGUGAAAGAAUUUUUUUAUAUUUAAAAAGAAAAAUUAAGUUUUUGUACCUUGUGUAUCAGGGUUUAUUAAAAAUAAAUUAAAGAUUUUAGUAUUCUCGAAUUUAAAAGAUUUAAUUACAUAUAUUUAUUAAUGUUGAAUAAUUAUUAUAAAUAUGUAGUUAGAAAUGAAAUGUUAUUCGUUUUUAAAUAUAUCUAGUUUUUUAAGAAAAAAAUUUAAUUUUAUUAUUAAUUUAAAAAAAGUUAUUUAAAUAGUUUUUUUUAUUUAAUAUUAAAUAUUUUUGGGGAUAAGCUUGAAAAUAAAAUUUUAUAAAUUUAAGAUUUAAUUAAAAUUGUAGGAUUAGAAUUUUUUAUCAUUAAUAAAAUGUUAUAGUUAAUUUAUUUAUUUUAAUUAUUUUUAUUAAUUUUAAUUUUUUUAUUAGAAUGUGUUUUAAAAUUUUUUUUAAUUAGUAAUAAUGGUAAAAUUAGUAUAAUUUUUUGUUAAAAAAGAAAAUCAAUUAAAGGUUUUUAAAAGGAAUUCGGCAAAUGUAUUUUUCACCUGUUUAUUAAAAACAUGUCUUAUUGAUAAUAAUUUUAAGUCUGGCCUGCCCACUGAGUAUUUAAAUGGCCGCGGUAUUUUGACCGUGCAAAGGUAGCAUAAUCAUUAGUUUUUUAAUUGAAAGCUGGAAUGAAAGGUUGAAUGAGAAAAUAGCUGUCUCUUAUGAAAUUUUUUAGAAUUUUAUUUUUAAAUAAAAAAGUUUAAAUGAUUUUUAAAGACGAGAAGACCCUAUAGAGUUUUAUAUAUUGAUAUAAUUGAUUUUAUUAGAUUAAUUUUAUUUAAUUUUGUUUAUAUAUUUGGUUGGGGUGAUUGAAAAAUUUAUAAAACUUUUUUUAUUUUUAGACAUUGAUUUGUGAUUAAGUGAUCCUUUAUAAAGAUUAAAAGAUUAAAUUACCUUAGGGAUAACAGCGUUAUUUUUUUUGAGAGUUCAAAUCGAAAGAAAAGAUUGCGACCUCGAUGUUGGAUUAAAAUUAAUUUUUGGUGUAGAAGCUAAACAUUUAGGUCUGUUCGACCUUUAAAAUUUUACAUGAUCUGAGUUUAAACCGGUGUAAGCCAGGUUGGUUUCUAUCUUGAAGAUGUUAUAAUAUUUUAGUACGAAAGGAUCAAAUAUUAAGUUUAAAAUUUUUAUUUUGAAUUAUAUUA